ACGCUCGACACCUACGGGAAGGCAGCAGUGGGGAAUAUUGCACAAUGGGGGAAACCCUGAUGCAGCAACGCCGCGUGAAGGAAGACGGUUUUCGGAUUGUAAACUUCUGUUCUUAGUGAAGAUAGUGACGGUAGCUAAGGAGCAAGCCACGGCUAACUACGUGCCAGCAGCCGCGGUAAUCUGAGGCGGGCUGGCAAGGC
Molecule: ribosomal RNA, 200 nt
Filed under: uncultured bacterium
Lineage: Bacteria
Description: partial 16S ribosomal RNA
Rfam family: Bacterial small subunit ribosomal RNA
Source: RNAcentral